CCUACGUGGGUCAGCAGUGAGGAAUAUUGGUCAAUGGGCGCGAGCCUGAACCAGCCAAGUCGCGUGAGGGAAGACGGCCCUACGGGUUGUAAACCUCUUUUGCCGGGGAGCAACGUGCGCCACGUGUGGCGCCACUGGCAGUACCCGUAGAAAAAGCAUAGGCUAACUCCGUGCCAGCAGCCGCGGAAAUACGGAGGAUGCGAGCUUUAUCCGGGUUUCUUUGGUUUAAAGGGUGCGUAGGCGGCGCGUUAAGUCAGUGGUCAAAUUGAGGGGCUCAACCCCUUCCCGCCAUUGAAACUGGCGCUCUUGAGUGGAAGAGAAGUAUGCGGAAUGCGUGGUGUAGCGGUGAAAUGCAUAGAUAUCACGCAGAACCCCGAUUGCGAAGGCAGCAUGCCGGCUUCCGACUGACGCUGAAGCACGAAAGCGUGGGGAUCGAACAGGAUUAGAUACCCGGGUAGUC
This 460-nucleotide ribosomal RNA is filed under the name uncultured bacterium. RNAcentral's name for it is "partial 16S ribosomal RNA". It matches the Rfam family "Bacterial small subunit ribosomal RNA", at positions 338 to 795 of the family's 1533-position model. The record is from RNAcentral.